This 253-nucleotide ribosomal RNA is filed under the name uncultured bacterium. RNAcentral's name for it is "partial 16S ribosomal RNA". It matches the Rfam family "Bacterial small subunit ribosomal RNA", at positions 524 to 776 of the family's 1533-position model. The record is from RNAcentral.
UACGGAGGGUGCAAGCGUUAUCAGGAUUCACUGGGUUUAAAGGGUGCGUAGGUGGGCUGGUAAGUCAGUGGUGAAAUCUCCAGGCUUAACUUGGAAACUGCCAUUGAUACUAUCAGUCUUGAAUACCGUGGAGGUCAGCGGAGUAUGCCAUGUAGCGGUGAAAUGCUUAGAUAUGACAUAGAACACCAAUUGCGAAGGCAGCUGGCUACACAAAUAUUGACACUGAGGCACGAAAGCGUGGGGAUCAAACAGG